Molecule: ribosomal RNA, 293 nt
Filed under: uncultured bacterium
Lineage: Bacteria
Description: partial 16S ribosomal RNA
Rfam family: Bacterial small subunit ribosomal RNA
Source: RNAcentral
GUGCCAGCCGCCGCGGUAAUACGUAGGGACCAAGCGUUGUUCGGAUUUACUGGGCGUAAAGGGCGCGUAGGCGGCAUGACAAGUCACUUGUGAAAUCUCUGGGCUUAACCCAGAACGGCCAAGUGAUACUGUCGCGCUAGAGUGCGGAAGGGGCAAUCGGAAUUCUCGGUGUAGCGGUGAAAUGCGUAGAUAUCGAGAGGAACACCUGAGGUGAAGACGGGUUGCUGGGCCGACACUGACGCUGAGUGCGCGAAAGCCAGGGGAGCAAACGGGAUUAGAUACCCCAGUAGUCC